RNAcentral lists this ribosomal RNA (200 nucleotides) under uncultured bacterium. RNAcentral describes it as "partial 16S ribosomal RNA". It matches the Rfam family "Bacterial small subunit ribosomal RNA", at positions 8 to 208 of the family's 1533-position model. The record is from RNAcentral.
AGAGUUUGAUCCUGGCUCAGAGCGAACGCUGGCGGCGUGCUUAACACAUGCAAGUCGAACGUGAAAGUAGCAAUACGAGUAAAGUGGCGUACGGGUGAGUAACACGUGGGUAAUCUACCUUAGAAUCUGGAAUAACCGGCCGAAAGGCUGGCUAAUACCAGAUAGUUCAAGCGCAUUAUAAUGGUGCGAUUGGGAAAGGG